GAUAAGCUGCAGCAUCUUUGAUAAGUUGGCUGUCUUUGGCUGUCAGUUUAUCAUCAGCUUAUCAUCUUAGCUGUCAGGAUGGGUGGCUGCUGGUCAUGGGUGAACUGUAAGUAAGUCUCCGGCAUGAUGGGGAAGCAAAAUCUAAUGGCUGCCUGGACUUGGUUUUUAAAGAUGCCCUUCCAUGGUUUUACAUGCCAUUGUGCUCCCUAUGUGAACUUCAGUGGUCACAAGUUCACCACCAGUAUUCACACCACACAGCUUCUCCUUGAAAUGCAGGUGGCCCUCGAAGGUCACUUGCUGGGCUGAUUUCCACUGUAUUUCUUAAGCUUACAGGUCCUAGACCUGUGAAACUGUAGCACCCAGGAGCUACUGGCUGGCCCCUGUGGGCCCACUUGGGGUUUUUUUUGGGGGGGGGGAAUCCUGCCCACCAGUUCAAGCUGACUUCAAAAGCUGCCCCCCCAAACCCCCAUGUUAUUUCCAAGAACAUGCCUAACCUUUUCUUCUUUCAUGUUCCCAUAGGUCUCACCCAGAGGCAGAACCAAAAUGAGUUGCUUUUUUCCCUCUUGACUCCUCUUAAUGCUUUUGGCUCUGGUGUGGCCAUCUGAAGUGAUGGGUGUGGAGGGGGUUGUUCAGACAUAGCCCAAACCCAGGUAAAAGUGUGCCAUCGAGUCGGUGUCAACUCCUGGUGACCACAGAGUCCUGUGGUUGCCUUUGGUAGAAUACAGGAGGGGUUUACCAUUGCCAUCUCCCACGCAGUAUGAGAUGAUGCCUUUCAGCACCUUCCUAUAUCGCUGCUGCCCGAUAUAGGUGUUUCCCAUAGUCUGGGGAACAUACAGGCGGGGAUUCGAGUUGUCACAAAUUUAAACCCUCUUAUUCAAAUUUUAAAAACCAAAACAGUAUGUAUGUUUUUUUAGGUGAAGUGUCCCCCUUUUGCGGGGGGGGGGGCUUUCUAAAAAGUUGAAAAUCUUCUCUGGAGAGGGGUGGGAAAGCUGGCCUCAUAUCUAUAAACUACGAGAGUGGGUCUGCCCCCUGCCCUGUCAACCAGUCAAUCCCCAAGUGAAAACAAUCUGAGCAAAAUGUAGUGAGUGACUUUCAAUAGCAAUUACUUUCACUGCUCCCAAGUAUUGAAUCAUCCAAAAUUAGCAGGGCCUUCUAGAAGGAUUAUUGGUGAGGGCAUGCUUGGGAUGGCACAGCACCCCCUAGGAUUACUGGGGGGACCCCUCAAUUUCCUGUGAUUCGCUACUAAGAAUGUUUCUCCUUAUCUCUGCAGGGAUGAAGAUGAAGAGGGGGCACAGACUGAAAUGAGGGUUCGCCGCAUUUCCCAGCAGUUCCCUCGUUCUCUCCAGGCCAUCAACCUGCAAAUUGGACACACACGGAUAAGGCUCAUCCGCAGUGAAGUUCAGCUGCAACGGUGGGGAACGGAAGGUGACCAAGCUCUGAUGCCUGUAAUUCAGACAGUUUCUCAUGAUGUUCCUGAAGGCCCUGCUGCAUGUCUCCGCCCCCCUGGGUCCAGUUCAUUAUUAUCUUCUGCCUCGCUGGGAGUUGGCUCCAUCCCACCCUCCACCUCCACCUCUUCUUUCCUCCUCCAUCCCUCCCCCCUCCUCCUCCUCCUUCCCCACCUCCCCUAGAGCCAGACCUCAGCAAUGUAAAAGAAACUCUGCAGAGUUUGAUGGAUUUGCAGUUCCAUCAGCUGAAUGACUGCCAAAGAGACCUCCGCAGCUGCCAGGAAUGUUUGCAAAACCUCAAGGCACUGAGGGGACAGCUCCGGAGACUGCGGAGCAGACUGGCAAGGGUGGAAGCCACCAUGGGGAUCCUGGUUCCUCCAAGGGAGCUGGAUGUUGAUGAGGAAAAAGAGGAAGACAAAAACCAGACAGUACUUCAUGCAUAAGUAGCAAUAAAAUGCUGCAUAUUUAUUUUAAAAAUAUUAAACAUUUGUUUUAAUAGGAUGUAGAGAUAAAACAGCAAUAUAACAUGCAUAUUUACUGCUUAAAAAUUAAA
This is an RNA transcript of Hemicordylus capensis (graceful crag lizard), 1998 nucleotides long. RefSeq lists it as uncharacterized. The record is from RefSeq and is a predicted model, not a curated record. The transcript is spliced from 5 exons. NCBI's taxonomy places the organism in Eukaryota, Metazoa, Chordata, Lepidosauria, Squamata, Cordylidae.